AGCAGCCGCGGUAAUUCCAGCUCCAAUAGCGUAUAUUAAAGUUGUUGCAGUUAAAAAGCUCGUAGUUGAAUUUCGGGAUCAAAUUGUUGGUCGUGCCUCGGUACGCACUGGUAUUAUUGGUUCCUACCUUCUGAAGAACCGCGAUGUCAUUAAUUUGGUGUCGUGGGGAAUCAGGACUGUUACUUUGAAAAAAUUAGAGUGUUUAAAGCAGGCUUACGCUUGAAUACAUUAGCAUGGAAUAAUGAAAUAGGACGUUUGAUUCUAUUUUGUUGGUUUCUAGGAUUGACGUAAUGAUUAAUAGGGAUAGUUGGGGGCAUUAGUAUUCAAUUGUCAGAGGUGAAAUUCUUGGAUUUAUUGAAGACUAACUACUGCGAAAGCAUUUGCCAAGGAUGUUUUCAUUAAUCAAGAACGAAAGUUAGGGGAUCGAAGACGAUCAGAUACCGUCGUAGUCUUAACCAUAAACUAUGCCGACUAGGGAUCGGAUGAUGUUAAUUUUUAAUGACUCAUUCGGCGCCUUACG
RNAcentral lists this ribosomal RNA (520 nucleotides) under uncultured Glomus. RNAcentral describes it as "SSU rRNA". It matches the Rfam family "Eukaryotic small subunit ribosomal RNA", at positions 569 to 1092 of the family's 1831-position model. The record is from RNAcentral. Lineage: Eukaryota; Fungi; Glomeromycota; Glomeromycetes; Glomerales; Glomeraceae.